RNAcentral lists this ribosomal RNA (253 nucleotides) under uncultured bacterium. Its description in RNAcentral is "partial 16S ribosomal RNA". It matches the Rfam family "Bacterial small subunit ribosomal RNA", at positions 524 to 776 of the family's 1533-position model. The record is from RNAcentral.
UACGUAGGGGGCAAGCGUUGUCCGGAAUUAUUGGGCGUAAAGAGCGCGUAGGCGGUCCGGUAAGUCAGCUGUGAAAGUCAAGGGCUCAACCCUUGAAAGCCGGUUGAUACUGUCGGGCUAGAGUCCGGAAGAGGCGAGUGGAAUUCCUGGUGUAGCGGUGAAAUGCGCAGAUAUCAGGAGGAACACCAACGGCGAAGGCAGCUCGCUGGGACGGUACUGACGCUGAGACGCGAAAGCGUGGGGAGCGAACAGG